GGGCGGUUAGCUCAGCGGUAGAGCACUACGUUGACAUCGUAGUGGCCACAGGUUCGAUCCCUGUACCGCCCACCA
This 75-nucleotide transfer RNA is filed under the name Pseudomonadota bacterium. RNAcentral describes it as "tRNA-Val". It matches the Rfam family "tRNA". Rfam says of the family: Transfer RNA (tRNA) molecules are approximately 80 nucleotides in length. Their secondary structure includes four short double-helical elements and three loops (D, anti-codon, and T loops). Further hydrogen bonds mediate the characteristic L-shaped molecular structure. tRNAs have two regions of fundamental functional importance: the anti-codon, which is responsible for specific mRNA codon recognition, and the 3' end, to which the tRNAs corresponding amino acid is attached (by aminoacyl-tRNA synthetases). tRNAs cope with the degeneracy of the genetic code in two manners: having more than one tRNA (with a specific anti-codon) for a particular amino acid; and 'wobble' base-pairing, i.e. permitting non-standard base-pairing at the 3rd anti-codon position. Lineage: Bacteria; Pseudomonadati; Pseudomonadota. RNAcentral also lists the same sequence under 1 other name. The record is from RNAcentral.